Bombyx mori (domestic silkworm) is the source of this 591-nucleotide long non-coding RNA. RefSeq lists it as uncharacterized. NCBI's taxonomy places the organism in Eukaryota, Metazoa, Arthropoda, Insecta, Lepidoptera, Bombycidae. The record is from RefSeq and is a predicted model, not a curated record. The transcript is spliced from 2 exons.
UGUUGUCUGUAGUGUUCCUAUACUAUUUUAGGAAUGUCAGUGAGCUGUCACAACUACGACGCGUAGAGCAUUUUUUAACCUACCGAUUUUGUUCGGUUGUGCUUUGGAAUUUUUGUGUUUGUGUUUUUUCUUUUAAAAUGUCGAGUUCAGAAAGUGAUAACGAAGUUUUAAUGUUACUGAAUUCAAGCGACGAUUCAAGUGAUGAUACGCGAAGUAAUAGAGUGUAUAAAACAAGAAUCAAUUAUUAUUCAGAGCUCGAUAAUCAGGAGUUUCAACUAAGAUUUCGGCUCGACAAGCAGUCUGUGCAAUUACUGUUAGGUGAAAUUUAUCCUUUUUUAAAGGAAUCAUGGAAUAUCUCCCUUACAUUACAAUUUAUCAGUUUUUUUUGGUAUUUUGGCGCGGUCCGGCCGACAUCUGGCGUUUCCUUUGUCUCUUCAUGGCGUUUUGUUCACUUUACAGUUAAAACUAAAGUAGCUGUUUUUAAAUUGUGAAUGUUCAAAUAAAAUUACAUAUGUGAUGAAUUACAAUUAAUUUAUAUUAUUUUAAAAUAUUUAUGUAAAAAUACUAAUAAAAACUUAUGUAUUUUGAAAA